UAUACUAUGCUUCACAUGUUUUUUUAAAUUUUUUCUCAUCUUAGAAAAUUCAUAUCAAUUUGAAAACUCAUCCAAAAAAUACCAGGUUUUUUGCAUUGAGAUCGUUGUUCUCUCUAGUUUUUUAUCAUCAUGAUUUUACAAGUUGUGCUUGGCUGGAUAAUUUUUUGUGCUAGAAUGUUUGAACAUGUGUCCUUAUUUGAC
Molecule: long non-coding RNA, 201 nt
Filed under: Lathyrus oleraceus (garden pea)
Lineage: Eukaryota; Viridiplantae; Streptophyta; Magnoliopsida; Fabales; Fabaceae
Description: Pisum sativum (pea) long non-coding RNA (PSAT_LNC004475)
Source: RNAcentral